CAAGUAAAUAAAACAAAAUAAAAAUAUUAGGGGACAAACGAGUUACUCAGAUGACUAGCAUUAAUGCAGAAGAAAACUUUCGUAAGAAUUCUACAACACACUGGAAGAUCACAGUAUUAUCGAAAUAAUUGUUAAUUAAGGCCGAUUAAUAAAUUCUUUUUGACUUA
This 167-nucleotide long non-coding RNA is filed under the name Polistes fuscatus (common paper wasp). RNAcentral describes it as "uncharacterized LOC122513958". The record is from RNAcentral. Lineage: Eukaryota; Metazoa; Arthropoda; Insecta; Hymenoptera; Vespidae.